This 253-nucleotide ribosomal RNA is filed under the name uncultured bacterium. RNAcentral describes it as "partial 16S ribosomal RNA". It matches the Rfam family "Bacterial small subunit ribosomal RNA", at positions 524 to 776 of the family's 1533-position model. The record is from RNAcentral.
UACGAAGGGUGCGAGCGUUAAUCGGAAUUACUGGGCGUAAAGCGCGUGUAGGCGGUUGGUUAAGUCAGAUGUGAAAGCCCCGGGCUCAACCUGGGAACGGCAUUUGGGACUGCAAGGCUGGAGUGUGGCAGAGGAGACUGGAAUUCCUGGUGUAGCAGUGAAAUGCGUAGAUAUCAGGAGGAAUACCGAUGGCGAAGGCAGGUCUCUGGGCUGACACUGACGCUCAUGCACGAAAGCGUGGGGAGCAAACAGG